CUUGUGUUGUCUUGAAAAUUCCAUUCACAGUAGCCACAACUCAGUGCCCUCGGCUCCUGAGCUGGACUGUGUGAGGAGAGUCUUCAGGGAACUGAGGGGCUGGGUUGGGCGCAGGGGUCUGCUCCCUUCUCUCUAUGUCCUCUGACUGUGAUGUUGGCUGUGUGUGGUCCUCACAGUGAUCCCUUGCAAGCAUCCCAAGGAAGCAGGGCUGUGUGUGCAUUUAUGUGUGUGCUAUUGGGGCCAUGCAAAGAGAACUCUGGAAAAGGAGGGGCCUGAACGAGGAGGCCAAGCAGACCCUGCAGUUAAAGCCAUGGCCGUGAUCCAGAGAUCUGAAGACUCCUCCUGACAGCUCCAAGGGACUUCCUGGGGGCUGAGGAAUGGAUCUGGGUGGCGGUUCUGAGUUCUUAAGUCAAUCAUGGAAUCUUCUAGAACAAGAUCCCCCCGUGUUGCAUCAGUUAGUGGAAACACUGGAUAUUCCAGGCAAGAAGUAUCUUUUGAGUGACGAUGGGAGGAGGAAUUGGCUGGCUUCAUUUUGCAUGGAAAGUUAAUUGCUUUUGGAAAGUUGUUUUCAGUCACAUGAGGACCACACAGAGGAAAAAAAACACAACAACAACAACACUGCCUUCAGAUGGGAGAUUCGCCAACAGCAACAAUAGCCUCUGCCUUUCUGAGACUGAUGGACGUCGAGGGCAACCCAAGGCAGAGCCAUUGUUUACACUGACAGCUUAACAGCAGGCUUGAAGGGAGAAGGAGAUGGGGUGGCAGAGGGAAGCUGUAAACACUUAAUCCGUCACAGAGACUUCCAGGGAACCAGGCGCCAUGGAGCCAGACCGACCAAGCCCUUAAUUGUUGGGCAAUUCGCUGUCUCCACUGCCCUGGCCGCCCUCGUUAGAUGCCAGCACGGCGGAGCAUCCGACAAGGACCGCCAGCGCGGGGAGGGCUCACGGCUGUCGUGGUGGGAUCGGCUCCCUGGAGAUGGGAGACACAUGAUGGAUAUUCACCUGUCCUCGGUGCUUGUCUCAUUUAUUCAAAUUAACUAGUGCCCAGAGCUGCAAAGAAAUGGAUCUGAAUUCAGACAAAGAUGAAUUGCAGUAAAAAUGGAAAUUAAAACUCAGAAAACUAAUACCAUCAGGCCACUGGAAUUUUAUUAGCUAAUCAUGGCUAAGAUAUUGGACUUCUGAAAACGCUGCUUUGAUUGAAUUUUCACCUUGGAUCCACGAGGGCUUGUCAGGAUGGUGUCUGGUGAUGCAGGGAGGGAGUAGCGCAGACUGUAAUGAGCUGUUGAACGCCCUCUUUCCCUCACGGUUUAGGUUUUUGGCUCAAGUAUCAUAGACUUUUGGAAUUGACAGUGCUUGAAGUCAUAACUUUAGAAGCCACCCCAAGACCAAGGUCAGGCAUCAUCCAGGGUCCUCAGGAUUGGUCUCUCAGAUCGGGUACCACGGUGCUCUUGGGAUCCUGGCAGAGCACAGCUGGAGGAGGAGACAGCAAGACUAUGACCUGGGGGUGCUCUAGCAGCUACUGCCGGAGCCUUACCUCCUGAGGGCUCUGAUGGCUGGGGACUGGCUUCCCUGUGCCCACAUCGUCAGCACCUUGACUUUAGCACGCCUCUGAGUGACGUCAUCUGCACCACACCUGUAGCAUCGGAGCUGCUCUUGCCUCAAGGCCCCUGUGUCUCCAGGGAGGACCUUGCUGCCCUGGCUGCUCGGCCUGCACUCUGCCACCGUCUUCCCAUUUUAGCAAGGGGACAUCAGACUGUCCCUAUCAGUUCUCCUGAUCAGACAGCCCAGGACAGGGAGUGUCCCAUUUCCUGCCUACGGAUUCCCCAGUGGACGGACCAUGCCCAGGGCCUGCCCUCCACCCGGUAAUGCAGAAAUGGAGGAAGGGAAGGACCAACGGAUGAACCUUCUCCUGGAUUCCUGAAGGACAAUUCCAAGUGGUGUCCUACGUGUCUUUGGGAUGGUUCCAGGCCCGAUCAUGUCUCCAUUUUCCUUGGGGGGUGUUACAGUGUGGACAGGGUUUGUCUCUGCCAAAACUCACAGAAUUUAACUGCCAAGAUAAUGGUAUUGAGAGGUGGCAGGACACUGGAGGGGUGGUUAGGUCACAAGAGUCCACUCUCAUAGCUGAUUACUGUGGUUCUGGUGGAACUAGGUCAGUUCUGAUGAGAGCAGAUGUUCCAA
Molecule: long non-coding RNA, 2177 nt
Filed under: Marmota monax (woodchuck)
Lineage: Eukaryota; Metazoa; Chordata; Mammalia; Rodentia; Sciuridae
Source: RNAcentral